UAAGGGAUAUUGGUCAAUGGGGGGAAAACCCUGAACCAGCAACGCCGCGUGAGGGAAGACGGUUUUCGGAUUGUAAACCUCUGUCCUCUGUGAAGAUGAUGACGGUAGCAGAGGAGGAAGCUCCGGCUAACUACGUGCC
This 139-nucleotide ribosomal RNA is filed under the name uncultured bacterium. Its description in RNAcentral is "partial 16S ribosomal RNA". It matches the Rfam family "Bacterial small subunit ribosomal RNA", at positions 355 to 509 of the family's 1533-position model. The record is from RNAcentral.